This 496-nucleotide ribosomal RNA is filed under the name uncultured bacterium. Its description in RNAcentral is "partial 16S ribosomal RNA". It matches the Rfam family "Bacterial small subunit ribosomal RNA", at positions 29 to 507 of the family's 1533-position model. The record is from RNAcentral.
AUGAACGCUUGCGGCGUGCCUAAUACAUGCAAGUCGAGCGCACAGAUGAGGAGCUUGCUCCUCUGACGUUAGCGGCGGACGGGUGAGUAACACGUGGAUAACCUACCUAUAAGACUGGGAUAACUUCGGGAAACCGGAGCUAAUACCGGAUAAUAUAUUGAACCGCAUGGUUCAAUAGUGAAAGACGGUUUUGCUGUCACUUAUAGAUGGAUCCGCGCCGCAUUAGCUAGUUGGUAAGGUAACGGCUUACCAAGGCAACGAUGCGUAGCCGACCUGAGAGGGUGAUCGGCCACACUGGAACUGAGACACGGUCCAGACUCCUACGGGAGGCAGCAGUAGGGAAUCUUCCGCAAUGGGCGAAAGCCUGACGGAGCAACGCCGCGUGAGUGAUGAAGGUCUUCGGAUCGUAAAACUCUGUUAUUAGGGAAGAACAAAUGUGUAAGUAACUAUGCACGUCUUGACGGUACCUAAUCAGAAAGCCACGGCUAACUACGUG